Hyla sarda is the source of this 1098-nucleotide long non-coding RNA. RefSeq lists it as uncharacterized. The transcript is spliced from 3 exons. NCBI's taxonomy places the organism in Eukaryota, Metazoa, Chordata, Amphibia, Anura, Hylidae. The record is from RefSeq and is a predicted model, not a curated record.
UGCACCACUCAUUGUAUAGGACAGUGGUCUCCAAACUGUGCACCUCCAGAUGUUACACAACUACAACUCCCAGCAUGCCCUGACUGCUCCACUCAUUGUAUAGGACAGUGGUCUCCAAACUGUAGACCUUCAGAUGUUGCAAAAACAACAACUCCCAGCUGUUGGCUGUCCCGGCAUGCAGUUUUGCAACUUUGGGCAACAAUCAUCCACAGAAAAUUGUAAUGUCUCCCCCAUCAGGCCUUGGACGUGGCGCUACUUGAUAUCUCAUACACAUCCCCCCCUCCAUUUUGUGUUGUCCUCGUUUCCCUUAUUUCAACUUCCUCUACCUGUAGCCGCCUCGCCCCAGCGCCCCUACUUCUCCCUCCCCGAAUGGCGCACCUAUUCACAAUCCGCUCUCGUAUUCCUACAAGGCUCGCUGAUGUAAAGGAGCACUGAUGCCGUUGCCACGGCAACCUCCUCCCCUCCGCCCCCCCAGGCUGUGCGUCCGUGGGUGGCCGCGAAAGCGUUUUUCAUCUAGCACACUCUGUGCACAUGCUGGCCGGCUUAAAGAGCGAGAAGGGGCCGGCGCUGUGGUAUUUGGGGUGUGAGGUGGGUUUACUCCUUCUUGGCCAGGUGUCAACUCUAUUUUAUAUUUGGGAGGGGAGGGGGGGCUUAUCUGGGGAUCCGUAAAACAACCGGGUGUCCGUUACGAUUCAUGCACAUUGAAGUGAUAGAGAUGGUGGAGAGGCGCUGUAACACAUCAUUACUAAGGGCUGAGGAUUGUGAUGUCAUACGAUGACAUAAUAAAUCUUAAGGGCACAAUAGAGGAGGCCCAGUACGUCCCUGUCACUGUAUGUGUGUAUAGUUCCCACUAUCAGGUAGACGCAGACCAGCCAGAACAUUAAGACCACCUAUAGUUCCCUCCCUCCAACUACAACUUCCAGGAUCCCUUAUUUCCUGUCAAGGCACUGCAGCCGAGCCCAUCAGGGGACCAUGAAACCUUUCACCCUCACCCCAAUAGACACCGUCCCGGAGAACAAGUCAAAUCGUUUUGAGGUCCUAAAGAAACUGGAAGUCUUCUGGAUCUACAAGUGCAAUUCUCUGCAACCACCUGGUUUG